RNAcentral lists this microRNA (17 nucleotides) under Macrophomina phaseolina MS6. RNAcentral describes it as "miR-4258". The record is from RNAcentral. Lineage: Eukaryota; Fungi; Ascomycota; Dothideomycetes; Botryosphaeriales; Botryosphaeriaceae.
CCCCGCCGCCGCCUUGG